Molecule: ribosomal RNA, 406 nt
Filed under: uncultured bacterium
Lineage: Bacteria
Description: partial 16S ribosomal RNA
Rfam family: Bacterial small subunit ribosomal RNA
Source: RNAcentral
AUUGAACGCUGGCGGCAGGCCUAACACAUGCAAGUCGAACGAGUGGCGGACGGGUGAGUAAUGUCUGGGAAACUGCCUGAUGGAGGGGGAUAACUACUGGAAACGGUAGCUAAUACCGCAUACCAUCAGAUGUGCCCAGAUGGGCUUAGCUAGUUGGUUGGUUAACGGCUCACCAAGGCGACGAUCCCUAGCUGGUCUGAGAGGCUGACCAGCCCCAAUGUAACUGAGACACGUUCCAGACUCCUACGGGAGGCAGCAGUGGGGAAUAUUGCACAAUGGGCGAAAGCCUGAUACAGCAAUGCCGCGUGUAUGAAGAAGGCCUUCGGGUUGUAAAGUACUUUCAGCGGGGAGGCGUUACCCGCAGAAGAAGCCCCGGCUAACUCCGUGCCAGCAGCCGCGGUAAUAC